This is a long non-coding RNA of Cercocebus atys (sooty mangabey), 169 nucleotides long. RefSeq lists it as uncharacterized. The record is from RefSeq and is a predicted model, not a curated record. The transcript is spliced from 2 exons. NCBI's taxonomy places the organism in Eukaryota, Metazoa, Chordata, Mammalia, Primates, Cercopithecidae.
UUCCCAUCAUAAAUAUCCAAGGGUGUGACUGAGCCAUCACUGAACUGGACCCAGCAACUGAUGGCUGCUUCCUAUUGAGAAAAAUAUGUGUUAAAAGGAAGAUGGGCCCUUGGGCUGUUCAGAAUCGACUUCUGAACAAUAAUAAAUUGCACGACAAAGGAAAUUACUG